Molecule: ribosomal RNA, 451 nt
Filed under: uncultured soil bacterium
Lineage: Bacteria
Description: bacterial SSU rRNA
Rfam family: Bacterial small subunit ribosomal RNA
Source: RNAcentral
AGAGCGAACGCUGGCGGCAGGCCUAACACAUGCAAGUCGAACGGACCCUUCGGGGUUAGUGGCGGACGGGUGAGUAACACGUGGGAACGUGCCUUUAGGUUCGGAAUAGCUCCUGGAAACGGGUGGUAAUGCCGAAUGUGCCCUUCGGGGGAAAGAUUUAUCGCCUUUAGAGCGGCCCGCGUCUGAUUAGCUUGUUGGUGAGGUAAUGGCUCACCAAGGCUACGAUCAGUAGCUGGUCUGAGAGGAUGACCAGCCACAUUGGGACUGAGACACGGCCCAAACUCCUACGGGAGGCAGCAGUGGGGAAUCUUGCGCAAUGGGCGAAAGCCUGACGCAGCCAUGCCGCGUGUAUGAUGAAGGUCUUAGGAUUAGUAAAAUACUUUACACCGGUGAAGAUAAUGACUGUAGCCGGAAGAAGAACGCCCCGACUAACUUCGUGCCAGCAGCCGAC